AACGUACGCUGGCGGCACGCCUAACACAUGCAAGUCGAACGAAGUAGCAAUACUUAGUGGCAGACGGGUGAGUAACAUGUGGGUAUCUGCCCUUUGGCCUGGAAUAACACGAGGAAACUUGUGCUAAUACCGGAUAAGUCUUUACGGAGAAAGCUUUAUGCACCAUUGGAUGAGCCUGCACUUGAUUAGUUUGUUGGUGGGGUAAUGGCCUACCAAGACUGUGAUCAAUAGCUGAUUUGAGAGGAUGAUCAGCCACAUUGGGACUGAGACACGGCCCAAACUCCUACGGGAGGCAGCAGUGGGGAAUCUUGCACAAUGGAGGAAACUCUGAUGCAGCGAUGCCGCGUGAGUGAAGAAGGCCCUUGGGUUGUAAAGCUCUUUCGUCGGGGAAGAAAAUGACUGUACCCGAAUAAGAAGGUCCGGCUAACUUCGUGCCAGCAGCCGCGGUAAUACGAAGGGACCUAGCGUAGUUCGGAUUUACUGGGCUUAAAGAGUUCGUAGGUGGUUAGAAAAGUUAGUGGUGAAAUCCCAGAGCUUAACUCUGGAACUGCCAUUAAAACUUUUUAGCUAGAGUAUGAUAGAGGAAAGCAGAAUUUCUAGUGUAGAGGUGAAAUUCGUAGAUAUUAGAAAGAAUACCAAUUGCGAAGGCAGCUUUCUGGAUCAUUACUGACACUGAGGAACGAAAGCAUGGGUAGCGAAGAGGAUUAGAUACCCUCGUAGUCCAUGCCGUAAACGAUGUGUGUUAGACGUUGGAAAUUUAUUUUCAGUGUCGCAGGGAAACCGAUAAACACACCGCCUGGGGAGUACGACCGCAAGGUUAAAACUCAAAUGAAUUGACGGGGACCCGCACAAGUAGUGGAGCAUGUGGUUUAAUUCGAAGAUACGCGCAGAACCUUACCAACACUUGACAUGUUCGUCGCGACUCUAAGAGAUUAGAGUUUUCGGUUCGGCCGGACGAAACACAGGUACUGCAUGGCUGUCGUCAGCUCGUGUCGUGAGAUGUUGGGUUAAGUCCCGCAACGAGCGCAACCCUCACUUUUAGUUGCCAUCAUUAAGUUGGGCACUCUGAAAGAACUGCCAGUGAUAAGCUGGAGGAAGGUGGGGAUGACGUCAAGUCCUCAUGGCCCUUACGUGUUGGGCUACACACGUGCUACAAUGGUAUCUACAACAGGAAGCAAGACUGCGAAGUUAAGCAAAUCCCUAAAAGAUACCUCAGUUCGGAUUGCACUCUGCAACUCGAGUGCAUGAAGCUGGAAUUACUAGUAAUCGUGGAUCAGCGUGCCACGGUGAAUGCGUUCCCGGGUCU
This 1306-nucleotide ribosomal RNA is filed under the name uncultured bacterium. RNAcentral describes it as "bacterial SSU rRNA". It matches the Rfam family "Bacterial small subunit ribosomal RNA", at positions 28 to 1381 of the family's 1533-position model. The record is from RNAcentral.